GAUGAACGCUGGCGGCGUGCUUAACACAUGCCAGUCGAACGGAAAGGCUCCUGCUUGCAGGGGUACUCGAGUGGCGAACGGGUGAGUAACACGUGGGUGAUCUGCCCUGCACUUCGGGAUAAGCCUGGGAAACUGGGUCUAAUACCGGAUAGGACGAUGGUUUGGAUGCCAUUGUGGAAAGUUUUUCGGUGUGGGAUGAGCUCGCGGCCUAUCAGCUUGUUGGUGGGGUAAUGGCCUACCAAGGCGUCGACGGGUAGCCGGCCUGAGAGGGUGUACGGCCACAUUGGGGCUGAGAUACGGCCCAGACUCCUACGGGAGGCAGCAGUGGGGAAUAUUGCACAAUGGGCGCAAGCCUGAUGCAGCGACGCCGCGUGGGGGAUGACGGCCUUCGGGUUGUAAACUCCUUUCGCUAGGGACGAAGCGCAAGUGACGGUACCUGGAGAAGAAGCACCGGCUAACUACGUG
This 465-nucleotide ribosomal RNA is filed under the name uncultured bacterium. RNAcentral describes it as "partial 16S ribosomal RNA". It matches the Rfam family "Bacterial small subunit ribosomal RNA", at positions 28 to 507 of the family's 1533-position model. The record is from RNAcentral.